Non-coding RNA from Camellia sinensis, 707 nucleotides. The record is from RefSeq and is a predicted model, not a curated record. NCBI's taxonomy places the organism in Eukaryota, Viridiplantae, Streptophyta, Magnoliopsida, Ericales, Theaceae.
CCACCUCCACUCUCCUGCCCACUACCGCCACCACCACCACCGCCCUCUGCCCCUGUCCUUUCAAUUUCCUCCACCGCCUUCCAUCGGAAUCCCUCUUUUGCCACUCCCUCCAAUGCCCUUCUUCCCCUUCCCCCCUUCUUAACCUCGACCCCCUCCUACUCCAAUCACUACGCUACACCAACACUCUGAAACCCUCCCAACAACUCUUUAAUCAGAACCGCGUCCUUCAAACCAUACACGAUCCCAACUCCGACCUCUGCUUCUCCCUCGACGAUUAUUGCGACUUUGGUCCCAAUUUCUUCUACCCUAAUGGUGUGAAACUUCAAGUUCUAGCCCCCUAAUCUUCCAAGUACUGUUUUUAUUUUGUUUUGUUUUUUUUUUUUUCUUCUAGUGUUUCUGAACUUGAUUUUCGAUUUCUCUAUUUUACAGGCAAAUCAACCGAAGAACAACUCAAACCUCUCUUCGAUUACCACCGUGCUCAACCCUUCGAUGUUGUCUGCCUCAAUGAUGAUUGUUCAGAUUCAUCCCCAACUUUCUCUCCCAAACGAAGGAAGCAUUCGUAUACCACUGUUGAGAAGGUAGAUAAGAAUGAGAAAUUCAUAGCGGUUGUUGAUUGUGAAGAUAAGGAAGAGGAUGAUUGGCUAUCUCCACCUCCUAAAGUUUCAGUUGAUACACUGAAACUUGGUGAGGAUUCAACUAUAAAGGAG